CAUACAAACAGAGAUGUUACUCUUUCCUGGGAUUCACUUACCAUUUUCAUUUUUACCUCCACUCUUUAUAUUUACCUUGCUCUUGACAAUGGCUAGCCAAGGAACUGAAGAGGAAGAGGCGGCUGCACAAUCCUAAAAUCGUGGAGGCAGUCCGUCCGCUACACAACUCUGAGGAAACUGUAGGCGCUAUGACCCGGAGCAAGGGUACGGAUGAAAGAUGUGGGCUAACAUGCACUCUGUUGUUUCAGAAGCAAAUAAACAUUGUUUUAACUCUGUAGCUUCAUUAAGCUCGCCAUAUAAUGAGACAGUCACCUCAUUUUAGUGGGAGCACUGUCCAUAAGCCCAAAAUUACACGAUGAAGGCCUGGAUAAAAAAUGUCUUUGUUGUUGCCUGCAAGACAUACUACGAGACCAUGCAGAGAGAUUUCCGGUACAGCCAGCCAGAGCUAGCAAAUGUGGCUGCACCUAAUAAGACCUCAGCCCGGAGUCGCCAGAGGAGGAAGAGGGUAAGACAGAUUAGAAAUAAAUUUGUUUUACUUAUUUCUGUUGCAUCAGUAUAAACUGUAAUGAUAUACAUGUUGCUUAUUAUAUGUAACAAUUGUGUUUUCAACUCUUGGAGGUGGGGCAAAGAGUACUGGCUGUGGACGAAGUGGACUUCUGGAGGGGAUGGAGUCUCGGGGUGGAUUGUGAGACCUCCAUCAUUCCGCAGCCAGGAGCUCAGCAAUCUGUGUGCUAAGCUGCAAGAGAGACUAGAAGCCAGUUCAAAGUGUGUAGCACUGCAUCACCGGCGUCUGUGAACUGGGCUGUCGUCUAACAGAACGCCACCCGCAUACCUACGACC
This is a long non-coding RNA of Hemibagrus wyckioides, 840 nucleotides long. RefSeq lists it as uncharacterized. The record is from RefSeq and is a predicted model, not a curated record. NCBI's taxonomy places the organism in Eukaryota, Metazoa, Chordata, Actinopteri, Siluriformes, Bagridae. The transcript is spliced from 3 exons.